This 464-nucleotide ribosomal RNA is filed under the name Kermes echinatus. RNAcentral's name for it is "partial 28S ribosomal RNA". Lineage: Eukaryota; Metazoa; Arthropoda; Insecta; Hemiptera; Kermesidae. The record is from RNAcentral.
UGAAUCCGGGCGGUUAGAAUUCAGAAUCGCCGGUGGCGUUUUCGCGCGUCAUCGACGAUUUGAUAUUUCUGCCGCCGCUUUAAAACACGGACGUCGCAACCCGUUCGACGUUGGUCUCGGGAGCCGCGCUUUACGUUCGCCGUUUUCGAGCGCGUUUACGCGUGUUCGUUGCGACGAGUGCGCGGUCUUUUCCGGCCAACUUGUUUGACGGUAUGUAACGAGCGGUAGGCGGUGUUCCGUGUCCUUUGUGGCGCGGCACCGAAACCGGUUAGCGACGAAUCUUCGGGCCUCUUUCCGACCCGUCUUGAAACACGGACCAAGGAGUCUAACGUGUGCGCGAGUCGCGGGGUAUCGAGUCGUUUUUCCGCUUCACGGCGGAGGGCGGCUCGUUACAAUACGAAACCCGUUACAACUCUGUGCAAGGCGUAAUGAAAGUGAAUUUUGGGGAAAUGGUGUUUCCGAGU